CGCAGGGAGCCUGGCCACAUGGAAGGGGCGUGGUCCGGAACUCCAACACCAGGUCCUGCUUGGCCGCCCCUCCCGCGGCUACGCGCUACUCCAUCUACUGCUGGUUUGCCCGGGGUCCUUAAGCCAGCGACAGUGUUUAUUGCCGAACCCAGGCUGGAGCCGGGCGGCCCCAGGAGCCGCGCACAACAGCGCAAGCGGGUUGGAUACCGGGAGCCGAUUCCAGGGCGCCCACAGAAGCAGAAUCAGAGGGGUUGCUCACACCCGAGAUGUGAGGUUCCAGGAGCGCCGACCCAGAGUUGCCAGGCCUGAAGGCGGCAGAGGCUCAGUCGCACCCUACAUCUCCCACCUCAAGAUUUUAAGUAUAGUCCGCUUGAAAUCCCUGGAAUGCGCUUUCUUCUGGCUCCUACCCGGAGAUCCGGAGUCCGGACAAACCCGGGCAGGAAGGGUCCGUCGGACCAGCUCCUCCCAAGCCGAGGCUUCCAGGUCUCGGCCGGGUUCUUCUCCCUGCUUUUAGCUGAGCCGGGCUGGGCGUGUCUCUCUCCUCCAUCUAGAGCAGGGUGUGAAGAGGAAGCCAGAGGGGGCUGUCUGAAAAUGACCCUGACUCCCUCCUCGGGCUGUCGUGAGGAAGAGGGCCGCUUCGCCUGGCUGCUCGUCAUCGCGAAGGCUCCAAAGAAGGGUUGCGCAGCCGUGCUGGUAUAACCGAGGGUGUCCUGGCGAAGCCCAGCCCCUGGCGCCCUGGUGACCGGGGAGUCGAUGUGCGGACUGGAAAGAACUGGAGCCCGAAGCUGGAGAGCGCCCCUCAAAGGGAAGCCUGGAAGCCCGACAGAUGAACCCGACUCAGAGAGGGCCAAGACUGCAGACCUUGGGGACCGAGGACACGCUCACCACGCUGGUGGAGGCUGGGGGGAGGGCGCGGGCGGUGGCGUGCGGGGAAGCGCCUGGGAACACCUGGCUCUGCAAGUUUUGUGCCUUAGCGGAAAGAGGCGACAUCUCUGGCAACUUGGGAGUACAGGAAGUACCGAAGGAGUGCCAUCUGGUGGAUCAUUCUGGUAGUGACACUCAGACCUGGGCCAGGGGCCUUGAGACAAUUUACUUGACUGGAAAAAUCUGAGUAAAAAAAAGAUGCUUCAA
This 1131-nucleotide small RNA is filed under the name Pongo abelii (Sumatran orangutan). RNAcentral's name for it is "processed transcript". Lineage: Eukaryota; Metazoa; Chordata; Mammalia; Primates; Hominidae. The record is from RNAcentral.